GCUGUUGUUGGUGAUGGAACUUGCUUCCUGAGCUGACGACAGCCGCAGAAACCAGGCCGCUGCAACUGUUUAUUAAAAACAUAGCACUCUGCAAACACGAAAGUGGACGUAUAGGGUGUGAUGCCUGCCCGGUGCUGGAAGGUUAAUUGAUGGGGUUAGCGUAAGCGAAGCUCUUGAUCGAAGCCCCAGUAAACGGCGGCCGUAACUAUAACGGUCCUAAGGUAGCGAAAUUCCUUGUCGGGUAAGUUCCGACCUGCACGAAUGGCAUAAUGAUGGCGGCGCUGUCUCCAGCAGAGGCUCAGUGAAAUCGAAAUCGCUGUGAAGAUGCAGUGUACCCGCGGCUAGACGGAAAGACCCCGUGAACCUUUACUGCAGCUUGACACUGAACUUUGACCUUACUUGUGUAGGAUAGGUGGGAGGCUUUGAAGUUGGAACGCUAGUUCCAAUGGAGCCGUCCUUGAAAUACCACCCUGGUAAUGUUGAGGUUCUAACUCUGUCCCGUUAUCCGGGACGAGGACCGUGUCUGGUGGGUAGUUUGACUGGGGCGGUCUCCUCCUAAAGAGUAACGGAGGAGUACGAAGGUGCGCUCAGCGUGGUCGGAAAUCACGCGUAGAGUAUAAAGGCAAAAGCGCGCUUAACUGCGAGACCCACAAGUCGAGCAGGUACGAAAGUAGGUCUUAGUGAUCCGGUGGUUCUGUAUGGAAGGGCCAUCGCUCAACGGAUAAAAGGUACUCUGGGGAUAACAGGCUGAUACCGCCCAAGAGUUCAUAUCGACGGCGGUGUUUGGCACCUCGAUGUCGGCUCAUCUCAUCCUGGGGCUGAAGCAGGUCCCAAGGGUAUGGCUGUUCGCCAUUUAAAGAGGUACGCGAGCUGGGUUUAGAACGUCGUGAGACAGUUCGGUCCCUAUCUACCGUGGGCGCUGGAAAUUUGAGAGGAUCUGCUCCUAGUACGAGAGGACCAGAGUGGACGAACCUCUGGUGUACCGGUUGUGACGCCAGUCGCAUCGCCGGGUAGCUAUGUUCGGAAGGGAUAACCGCUGAAAGCAUCUAAGCGGGAAGCCUACCUCAAGAUAAGAUUUCCCUAGGAAUUUAUUCCUCUAAAGAGCCGUUCGAGACUAGGACGUUGAUAGGUUGGAUGUGGAAGCAUAGUGAUAUGUGAAGCUGACCAAUACUAAUUGCUCGUGAGGCUUGACUAUACAACACCCAAGCAGUUG
This 1213-nucleotide ribosomal RNA is filed under the name Acinetobacter pittii. RNAcentral describes it as "partial 23S ribosomal RNA". It matches the Rfam family "Bacterial large subunit ribosomal RNA", at positions 1750 to 2925 of the family's 2925-position model. The record is from RNAcentral. Lineage: Bacteria; Pseudomonadati; Pseudomonadota; Gammaproteobacteria; Moraxellales; Moraxellaceae.